CGGCAUGCUUAACACAUGCAAGUCGCACGGACCCUUCGGGGUUAGUGGCGCACGGGUGAGUAACACGUANGAAUCUGUCUUGAGGUGGGGGAUAACUCCGGGAAACUGGAGCUAAUACCGCAUGAUAACUGAGGUUCAAAGGUCGCAAGACCGCCUUGAGAGGGGCCUGCGUUCGAUUAGUUAGUUGGUGGGGUAAUGGCCUACCAAGACGAUGAUCGAUAGCUGGUUUGAGAGGAUGAUCAGCCACACUGGGACUGAGACACGGCCCAGACUCCUACGGGAGGCAGCAGUGGGGAAUAUUGGACAAUGGGGGCAACCCUGAUCCAGCAAUGCCGCGUGUGUGAAGAAGGUCUUCGGAUUGUAAAACACUUUCGUUGGGGACGAUGAUGACGGUACCCAAAGAAGAAGCCCCGGCUAACUUCGUGCCAGCAGCCGCGGUAAUACGAAGGGGGCGAGCGUUGCUCGGAAUAACUGGGCGUAAAGGGCGCGUAGGCGGCCGAUAGCUGUCAGAUGUGAAAUUUUUGGGCUCAACCCGAAAACUGCAUUUGAUACGUAUUGGCUAGAGUGCGAGAGAGGANUGCGGAAUUCCCAGUGUAGAGGUGAAAUUCGUAGAUAUUGNGAAGAACACCAGUUGCGAANGCGG
Molecule: ribosomal RNA, 643 nt
Filed under: uncultured Acetobacter sp.
Lineage: Bacteria; Pseudomonadati; Pseudomonadota; Alphaproteobacteria; Acetobacterales; Acetobacteraceae
Description: bacterial SSU rRNA
Rfam family: Bacterial small subunit ribosomal RNA
Source: RNAcentral